UGCCCAAGCUGUUUCUGGCAAUACCAAA
RNAcentral lists this non-coding RNA (28 nucleotides) under Homo sapiens (human). The record is from RNAcentral. Lineage: Eukaryota; Metazoa; Chordata; Mammalia; Primates; Hominidae.